This 253-nucleotide ribosomal RNA is filed under the name uncultured bacterium. RNAcentral's name for it is "partial 16S ribosomal RNA". It matches the Rfam family "Bacterial small subunit ribosomal RNA", at positions 524 to 776 of the family's 1533-position model. The record is from RNAcentral.
AACGUAGGUGGCAAGCGUUAUCCGGAAUUACUGGGCGUAAAGGGUGUGCAGGCGGGGAAGCAAGGGGUGUAUGAAAUCUCCCAGCUUAACUGGGAUAGGUUAUGCCAGACUGCUUUUCUAGAGGACGAGAGAGGGGGGUGGAAUUCCGGGUGUAGUGGUGAAAUGCGUAGAGAUCCGGAGGAACCCCAGAGGCGAAGGCGGCCCCCUGGCUCGUACCUGACGCUCAGCCACGAAAGCAUGGGGAGCGAACGGG